GCUCAGAAUGAACGCGGCGGCGUGCUUAACACAUGCAAGUCGAACGGGACUGGGGGGGCAACUCCCCAGUUGAGUGGCGGACGGGUGAGUAACACGUGGGUAACCUGCCCGGAAGUGGGGAAUACCUCGGGGAAACUCGAGCUAAUACCGCAUGACAUCUUCGGGACGAGAGUUCUGUUGAUCAAAGCGGGGUCGCAAGAUCUCGCGCUACCGGAUGGGCCCGCGCCCGAUUAGCUAGUUGGUGAGGUAACGGCCCACCAAGGCUUCGAUCGGUAGCCGGCCUGAGAGGGCGAUCGGCCACACCGGAACUGAGACACGGUCCGGACUCCUACGGGAGGCAGCAGUGGGGAAUCUUGCGCAAUGGGCGAAAGCCUGACGCAGCAACGCCGCGUGGAGGAUGAAGGCCCUUGGGUUGUAAACUCCUGUCGGCUGGGAAGAAAUCGCGCGGGGCUCAUACCUCCGCGCGUUGACUGUACCAGCAAAGGAAGCCCCGGCUAACUCUGUGCCAGCAGCCGCGGUAAUACAGAGGGGGCUAGCGUUAUUCGGAAUUAUUGGGCGUAAAGGGCGCGUAGGCGGCCACGCGUGUCUUUCGUGAAAUCCCUCGGCUUAACUGAGGACGUGCGGAAGAAACUGCGAGGCUCGAGUCCGGGAGAGGGGGGUGGAAUUCCCAGUGUAGCGGUGAAAUGCGUAGAUAUUGGGAGGAACACCGGUGGCGAAGGCGGCCCCCUGGACCGGUACUGACGCUGAUGCGCGAAAGCGUGGGUAGCAAACGGGAUUAGAUACCCCGGUAGUCCACGCCGUAAACGAUGGGCACUUGGUGUCGCGGGUAUCGACCCCUGCGGUGCCGAAGCUAACGCAUUAAGUGCCCCG
This 870-nucleotide ribosomal RNA is filed under the name uncultured bacterium. RNAcentral describes it as "bacterial SSU rRNA". It matches the Rfam family "Bacterial small subunit ribosomal RNA", at positions 22 to 871 of the family's 1533-position model. The record is from RNAcentral.